Molecule: unclassified non-coding RNA, 145 nt
Filed under: uncultured Leohumicola
Lineage: Eukaryota; Fungi; Ascomycota; Leotiomycetes
Description: sequence contains ITS2
Source: RNAcentral
UAACCCUCAAGCCUGGCUUGGUGUUGGGGCCUGCUGUUACCGGCAGCCCUUAAAAUCAGUGGCGGUGCCAUCUGGCUCUAAGCGUAGUAAUACUUCUCGCUACAGGGUCCCGGUGGAUGCUUGCCAUCAACUCCUAAUUUUCUAU